RNAcentral lists this ribosomal RNA (253 nucleotides) under uncultured bacterium. RNAcentral describes it as "partial 16S ribosomal RNA". It matches the Rfam family "Bacterial small subunit ribosomal RNA", at positions 524 to 776 of the family's 1533-position model. The record is from RNAcentral.
UACGAAGGGGGCUAGCGUUGUUCGGAAUUACUGGGCGUAAAGCGUGCGCAGGCGGCUGCUCAAGUCAGGGGUGAAAGCCCAGAGCUCAACUCUGGAACUGCCUUUGAGACUGAGUGGCUUGAGUACGGGAGAGGUGAGUGGAAUUCCCAGUGUAGAGGUGAAAUUCGUAGAUAUUGGGAAGAACACCGGUGGCGAAGGCGGCUCACUGGCCCGUAACUGACGCUGAGGAGCGAAAGCGUGGGGAGCAAACAGG